Molecule: ribosomal RNA, 485 nt
Filed under: bacterium 16-L049641-122-013-H02
Lineage: Bacteria
Description: bacterial SSU rRNA
Rfam family: Bacterial small subunit ribosomal RNA
Source: RNAcentral
UAGCACAGAGAGCUUGCUCUCGGGUGACGAGUGGCGGACGGGUGAGUAAUGUCUGGGGAUCUGCCCGAUAGAGGGGGAUAACCACUGGAAACGGUGGCUAAUACCGCAUAACGUCGCACGACCAAAGAGGGGGACCUUCGGGCCUCUCACUAUCGGAUGAACCCAGAUGGGAUUAGCUAGUAUGCGGGGUAAUGGCCCACCUAGGCGACGAUCCCUAGCUGGUCUGAGAGGAUGACCAGCCACACUGGAACUGAGACACGGUCCAGACUCCUACGGGAGGCAGCAGUGGGGAAUAUUGCACAAUGGGCGCAAGCCUGAUGCGACCAUGCCGCGUGUAUGAAGAAGGCCUUCGGGUUGUAAAGUACUUUCAGCGGGGAGGAAGGCGAUGCGGUUAAUAACCGCGUCGAUUGACGUUACCCGCACAAGAAGCACCGGCUAACUCCGUGCCAGCAGCCGCGGUAAUACGGACGGUGCGAGCGUUAAUC